Micropterus dolomieu (smallmouth bass) is the source of this 2630-nucleotide long non-coding RNA. RefSeq lists it as uncharacterized. The transcript has 2 exons. NCBI's taxonomy places the organism in Eukaryota, Metazoa, Chordata, Actinopteri, Centrarchiformes, Centrarchidae. The record is from RefSeq and is a predicted model, not a curated record.
CAGUAGGUAUACAGGUGUACAGGUUUAGCUGCAGUAGGUAUACAGGUGUACAGGUUUAGCUGCAGUAGGUAUACAGGUGUACAGGUGUAGCUGCUCUAGGUGUACAGGUUUAGCUGCAGUAGGUAUACAGGUGUACAGGUGUAGCUGCAGUAGGUAUACAGGUGUACAGGUGUAGCUGCUCUAGGUGUACAGGUUUAGCUGCAGUAGGUGUACAGGUGUAGCUGCAGUAGGUAUACAGGUGUACAGGUGUAGCUGCUCUAGGUGUACAGGUUUAGCUGCAGUAGGUAUACAGGUGUACAGGUGUAGCUGCUCUAGGUGUACAGGUUUAGCUGCAGUAGGUAUACAGGUAUACAGGUGUAGCUGCUCUAGGUGUACAGGUUUAGCUGCAGUAGGUAUACAGGUAUACAGGUGUAGCUGCUCUAGGUGUACAGGUUUAGCUGCAGUAGGUAUACAGGUGUACAGGUGUAGCUGCUCUAGGUGUACAGGUGUACCUGCUGAAGCUGCUGCUGCAGGCGGCCCCUCUGCUGGCCCUCCAGCUUCAGUGUGUACGGCUCUGGGCUGUGUGUGUGUGUGUUACACAGCGUGUGUGUCUGCAGACCGAGCUGCUGUCUCUUCCUGAUCAACGCCAGCUGCUGCUUCACCGUACGCCGCCCUGCGAUCGGUCCGUCCUCCGCCUCGUCAUCGCCCGGUCCUCUGUGAUGAAAGCAGAGCAGGUCAGCGGGCCAGGACGACACCCGAUCACACCUGUGUGUGUGUGUUACAUACGUGUUGUGCUGCUCCUCAGGUGUGUGUGUUUCAACAGUGAGAGUCUCCUCCUGAGGCUCCUCCUCUUCCUCGUGGCCUUCAUCUUCCACUUCCUGUCCUGCGAGGUCUUCUUUCAACUGAAACACAAGCAGUCCAGUUCAUAUGUGUGGUGGGUGGUGUAGAUGGAGCACUGCUGCUUCCUAGUUUGGUGCCAGCACUGACUGACAGAGCCAGGCCAGCUGUGUGUUUCCAGUGUUUAUGCUAAGCUACGCUAACAUCAGCCUGGGUAACAGACGUGUGUUUGUGUGUGUAAAGACUGCAGAGACUCACAGUUUGGAACAGCUCCUCCAUCAGCUCGUUCACCUCCUUCUCUGCAGGACACAGAAGAUAUUUAACACCAAACGUUUCAGGAUCCGAUCAUCAAAACAAAGAUUAUCUUACAGUGUGUGUGUGCGCACUGACUGGUGAUGCGGACAGCCUUGUCGUCACGGUAAUCCUCCUGGUCGGGUUCAUCGACGUCGGCCAGGAAGUUGUAUUCCGGAUCAUCUUCAUCGUCACACUCCUCUGGUAGAGGGACAGAGAACAACACGGCGUUAUGAAACGUAUUCCCCCCUCGCUGUGAGCCUCCAACGUUUCCCCGACACCCAAAGCAAAGGAGGUAUCAGUGCGGAUGACCUAAUAUUAUUAGGUCCUUCUGAGGACACACCUGGCCCUGACAGUGAGCCUGGAGAAUAACGACGGUCUUCCAGAGAGGACCCAGGUGUCAGGGAUAUGGAUGAAACGGUUUAACCACGGUAGAGUUCCCGAUGCUUAGUAUAACCUUUACAAAUGUAAAUUAUCAUUAUAUAACAGAGUUUAAUGAACGUGAUCAUUUUGGUCACCAUAAUCAUGAUGGGAAACCCAAACGGGUUCUUACUGGGCUCAGUACUGCACGUACUGACUUCAAAUACAAGUGGGGGAGAGCUUCUGAUGCUAUAGAAAAUUCUUUAAACAUAGCCUUACAUACCUUCAUCCUUCCUUAAACAUAAAGCAUUUAACAGCACACACACAAAAACGCCUUCAAGUUGAUGCGUAAACACAUUUCCACAGUAAACUCCUUUGAACAGCCUGUUAAUACACCCUCAAAAGCUUUAUUUGUACUAUAUUAUAUAUAUUAUACACAAUAUUAAUGAAGGCAGACAGAGCAGCAGGUCAUCGGUUGAUCCUACAGUGAAAUAAUGAACAAAACUCCUUCAUUUAAUUGUUAAUUUUAGAUCUGAAAAUGUCUGUUUUGGUGACGUAAACAUUGUUAACUUUGGCAGUUUGCUGCUUACUUUGGGGUUUUAUUUGGACUUGAACUACUUACAUUUACAGAAGAACUACAUACAUGUUGUAUGAGUUGUAAAACUUAUGACAUGGUACAUUUGGCAACAUUGUUCUUGAAACUUUGAUGACAGUAAGCCGUUUGAAUUGAACUGACAGAGAAAAUGAGUCACACUGUGUGACAGAGCUACACACACCUUCAUUUUCUAUCUCUGAGGUCAUUAGCCCUCUCAGCCAAUCAGUCCACUCCCUGUCCUCGUGGGUGGAGCUGGAGUCGUACAUGUCAGGUGUGAUGUCAGGAGCACGGAGCUCUGCCUCCAGACGGCCCAGCGGGAUGUCACGUAGGGGACGCUUGGACCGAGUCCGGUACGCCAUUAGACCCACCUCGUCCUGUGACUCGGACAGAGGCUGGAAGAGACCAAUAAUCAAUAAUCAAUAUAUCCACAUUGUUUAUUUAUUAAAGCUCUGCCUGCUGUCCUACAAGAAAGAACAGUGUAUGUUAAAUCUAUCUAAUACUGUGUAAGUCAUAGCAUACAAUGAUUUAUUGCUUGUCUGUGUUUAAUAAUAAAGAUCUUAAAAAAUAA